RNAcentral lists this transfer RNA (69 nucleotides) under Bos taurus (domestic cattle). It matches the Rfam family "tRNA". From Rfam's summary of the family: Transfer RNA (tRNA) molecules are approximately 80 nucleotides in length. Their secondary structure includes four short double-helical elements and three loops (D, anti-codon, and T loops). Lineage: Eukaryota; Metazoa; Chordata; Mammalia; Artiodactyla; Bovidae. RNAcentral also lists the same sequence under 1 other name. The record is from Rfam by way of RNAcentral.
CCUUACAGCUCAGUUGGUAGAGAAUCUUCCUGAAAUGCAGGAGACCCAGGUUCAAUUCCUGGGUCAGGA